RNAcentral lists this long non-coding RNA (235 nucleotides) under Hordeum vulgare. RNAcentral's name for it is "long non-coding RNA (HVUL_LNC001956)". The record is from RNAcentral. Lineage: Eukaryota; Viridiplantae; Streptophyta; Magnoliopsida; Poales; Poaceae.
UACCUACUGGUGGAGGAUCGCCCGUUCAUUUGCUUCCUCUGAGAUUUGUGCCAACUUUUUGUGUAUAAAGUACAACUAAUUUGUUAUGCAAUACGAACAGCAAGGAAAGAAAUACACUAGUGUAUGUCAGAUUUGUGUCAGCUUUAGCUAUGACCUAUGACAGAGAGUAAGUGUGAAGAAAAGGACAGCCAUGUGUUCUCUCUCCCCAAGCAAAAUUGUUGCAUUUUAUUUCAUU